AGUGAACGCUGGCGGCAUGCCUUACACAUGCAAGUCGAACGGUAACAGGUCUUCGGAUGCUGACGAGUGGCGAACGGGUGAGUAAUGCAUCGGAACGUGCCAUUGAGUGGGGGAUAACGUAGCGAAAGUUACGCUAAUACCGCAUAUUCUCCCCGGAGGAAAGCAGGGGAUCGUAUGACCUUGUGCGCCUUGAGCGGCCGAUGUCGGAUUAGCUAGUUGGUGAGGUAAAGGCUCACCAAGGCUACGAUCCGGAGCGGGUCUGAGAGGAUGAUCCGCCACACUGGGACUGAGACACGGCCCAGACUCCUACGGGAGGCAGCAGUGGGGAAUUUUGGACAAUGGGCGCAAGCCUGAUCCAGCCAUGCCGCGUGAGUGAAGAAGGCCUUCGGGUUGUAAAGCUCUUUCAGCCGGGAAGAAAACGCAUGGGUUAAUACCCUGUGCGGAUGACGGUACCGGAAUAAGAAGCACCGGCUAACUACGUGCCAGCCGCCGCCGUAA
This 498-nucleotide ribosomal RNA is filed under the name uncultured bacterium. RNAcentral describes it as "partial 16S ribosomal RNA". It matches the Rfam family "Bacterial small subunit ribosomal RNA", at positions 29 to 523 of the family's 1533-position model. The record is from RNAcentral.